UACGAAGGGGGCUAGCGUUGUUCGGAAUCACUGGGCGUAAAGCGCACGUAGGCGGAUGUGCCAGUCAGGGGUGAAAUCCCGGAGCUCAACUUCGGAACUGCCUCUGAUACAGCACGUCUUGAGUCCGGAAGAGGUGGGUGGAAUUCCUAGUGUAGAGGUGAAAUUCGUAGAUAUUAGGAAGAACACCGGUGGCGAAGGCGGCCCACUGGUCCGGUACUGACGCUGAGGAGCGAAAGCGUGGGGAGCGAACAGG
Molecule: ribosomal RNA, 253 nt
Filed under: uncultured bacterium
Lineage: Bacteria
Description: partial 16S ribosomal RNA
Rfam family: Bacterial small subunit ribosomal RNA
Source: RNAcentral